This 1033-nucleotide long non-coding RNA is filed under the name Suricata suricatta (meerkat). RNAcentral describes it as "lncRNA (ENSSSUG00005021886.1)". Lineage: Eukaryota; Metazoa; Chordata; Mammalia; Carnivora; Herpestidae. The record is from RNAcentral.
CACGCGAAGCACGGCGGGGGCGGGGGUACUGGGAGAGAACCGAGCGAUGUGGCCCUUCCCAAGUCCGAAGUCUCCCUCCCCAGGUUUCCCUCCCCGCGCCCCGAUCAGAGUUUGCGAGAUCUGGGGAGGCGCUGGGGCAGAAGCCGCCGACGUGGAGGGAUUUUCGGAAGGUGGGGUGGAAGAGUGAGGAAAGACAAUUCCCGAUUGCCUCCCCCGCUUGGGCGAUGCUUUCCUCCAACCCACCAUCCAGGCCUCCCGGGCAAGGGCCCAGCCUGGCCAGCUGGAGCGGAUUUGGGCGAAGGAGGAAAAGGGGGCUCCCAAACCCUCCCCGGUUUCCCUCCGCCGCCCUCCCUGAUUGGCUGUGCGUCCCCGGAGCCCAACUUCUGUCACUCCAGACUCAGUCUGAGCCCCAAGGGAGCUGGAGUGCAGCGACCCGGGGCGGCCGCGAAUCCAAGGGUCAGCGUCAGUGGGGCCCCUGGGGGGAGGGGCGCGGACGGGGUCGGCCCCCGCAGCCUUUGCCAGGCCCAGCUCUCCGCGUCUCGCGGCCUCGGCUCCUCUCCGCCCCCCGCCCUUUCCUUCCCUCCCAGCAGCGGCCUCCCUCCUCCUCCGCCACCCCCAACCCCGCCCGCCACCUCCCCCCGGUUUCUCAUUCCUGCCACUAGCGCGCUCGGCGGCUCAUUCCGCGGCCGCCGCCAGCCGAGGGGAGCGUCGCGAGCAGAUGCCGCGGGGGCCGCUCGCAGCCGCCGCCGACUUGUGAAUGGGACCCGGACUGGGGCCGGGGUUGACACCGCUGCGCUCGCCUUGCGCCAGGGAUCGACGGCCCCGAGCUCGCACCCACCCUCCAGGGCCCCAGAAAUCACUGUAUUUUUGGCUCAGUGGCCUGUGACACUCGUUCCUGUUGUCAUUUGUUGAGUGACCAAUCAGAUGGGUGGAGUGUGUUAUAGAAAUUGGCAGCAAGUAUCCAAUGGGUGAAGAAGGUAAGAUGGACCUACUUUACUGUACUAUGUAUGUGGAGAUGGAAAUGAUGCCUGAU